AACGCACGAGACCUGCGGACCUGCGGAAGGAUCAUUAAUGAGAAACUGCCCCUCGCGGGUAGAUCUCCCACCCUUUGUAAACUUACCUUUGUUGCUUUGGCAGGCCCGUCUCCGGGCCGCCGGCUUCGGCUGGCCAGUGCCUGCCAGAGGAUUCUAAAACUCUGUCUGUCAGUGUUGUCUGAGUCUAUAUACAAUCGUUAAAACUUUCAACAACGGAUCUCUAGAUCGGAAGAGCACACG
Molecule: unclassified non-coding RNA, 240 nt
Filed under: soil metagenome
Description: partial contains 5.8S ribosomal RNA, internal transcribed spacer 2, and large subunit ribosomal RNA
Source: RNAcentral